CAUGAGGCCUCCCUCCCCUUAGCGCAGGCCUGGGCUCUCUGUUCCCCCAGUCCCCAAAACUCUCCCCUGCACCCCACCUGACCCCUGUAGGCUGUCUGUUCAAGGCCUCUGCUGGAGCAUCCAGGAUACAGAGGGCAGUGACCUGUCCAGCCCCCGGCUGGCCUAGGCCUUCUCCAUCCAUGGACCCCUGUAGCCUUUCACCGAAGGGGACUUUGGGGUCCAGGUGCCCUGGGGAUGGAGGUGAGGUUAACAACGACCUCUGGAAGACUGGGCACCUGUCCGUGACUGAGAGCAGGCCCAGCCAGGCAUUCCCUGCUGUGGUUGGGGGACCGGGGCUGGGACGGGGUAGGGGGGCAGUCAAACUCAAGGGGGCCGCCGAGGCCCUGCCACCGCCCACCCCGUAGGCGCCCCCCAGGGAUCAGGCCACUCACAGGCGGCCUUGUCUCAGGCAAAGGGAGGAGGAGGGUGCAGAGAAACCGGCCGGAGGGGGUCCUGGGCCUGUGGGCAGAGGCAAGUGGAGGCGCCAGUGUCCGCAGCUCUGCUCCCCAGGGACAAGGCCCCACAGGGCCCAGGCGCCCCCUCCUCCCCAGGUCCUGACCACAGCUGCCAUGCUGUGUCCCUGAAGCUGCCAUAGCAGCGUGGCACCGAGGCUGCCUUGGCACAGUUGCCCUGGGCAGAGCAGAGAGGAGGUGGUGGCUAGGGGUGCCCCUGGGGAAGGUCCCCCUGGGGAAGGUCCCCCAGGAUGGCCACAGGGAAGCCGUUCAGGCAGGGGGGCAGGACCAGGCGCAGUAGCCGCCUGGAGCCCCCCGGGACCCGCUCGCACUGCAGCGGCCGGGGGGCUACUGCGCAGGUGGGCCAGGGCUGCCUCCCCUGAGCUAUGGGGGUCGCUCACCCCACAGGCCCUGAUCCGCAUGCAGCCCCUGGCAGGCCUGGGCCUGGGGCUUUAACACCUGAAAGCCGGAGUGGCACCGGUGCCCCCUCCUUCUUCCCUCCAGCCAAAGCGGGUGGGGGCCGCGCAAGGCCGAAGGGGAGAGAAAACCAGAGCGAGCUUCUUUCCCCUUUAAGAGCCCUGAUGGCCGCCGCCCAGACCCAGCGGCCCGGGGACGAAAAUGUCGCGAAAGAUUCCCUUCCGAACUUCCCGAGUCUUUGUUCGGGAGGAGGCCGGGGCGGGCGGCUUCGCUGGGCGGAGGGCCGCGGGCUGAGCCGUGCGCUCCAUGGCGGCCACGGUCACGGCGGCGGCGGCGGCGGCGGCGGCGGCGCCCCCCGCGCUCGCCCCCCGGGGCGCCCCCUCCCGGCCCGAGCCCGGGCCCGGCCCCCGGCCCCGGCCCCCGCCGGCCGCGGGGGGCGCCGAGGGCUAGGGCGGGAGAGCGGGCGCCGCUUACCAGGUCAUCCCGGAGUGCCCCGCGGUCCCGCCGGAGUCAAGUUCACGUCCGGCCGGCGGACUGUCCGAGGUCCCGGCGCGGCCGCGCAGAGCGAGGCCGCGAGAGGCCGCCGGCCCGGGUCACGCCGCACGCGGCCCCGCGGCGCCGCUGUCACCCCGGUCCCGCGACCCCAACUUUCCACACAGUCGCGGAGCUGGAAGUUUCCGGGCUUCGUGGGCGCUGGGCUGGGUUUCUGCAGUGUCGUCUGAGCUUGGCAACAAAGAGGGAAAGCAGGCCGGGAGAGGGGAGGAAAGAAAGAAAUACGAUGGGGAGAGGCCCGGCUACUGAGAAAUCUCCGGGACUUGAAAUUCCACCCGAAGCUUUUUUUGGAUGUUUUUUCUUAGGUGGUAAACACCCCCCGCAGCUCAGGAUGGAGCCCCUCCUCUGGUCCCGUGGCUGAGGCACCUUCCUCGGCACCUGCCUGUUUUAUAACCCACUCCAAAGCGUCUUGGGCAAAUUUUGGGGGUGGGGGGGAGUGAGGUGGGCACAAGAUGCUUCCUGAAAGGUGGUUGAUCUCAGUGCAGCUGCAGCAGGCCUGGGCUCGGAGGGGCUCCCUCUUGUCCUCCCAGCAAACCAGCUUGGGUCAGCUGCUCCAAGCAGCUCCCCUGUGUUUCUGUCCUGGGAGAAGAGGGACAGCUGGGACCACCACCCCCCCCCACCGUGUCCAGGAGAGGACCUGGGCUCCGUAAAGGGUCGAGGGCCCUGGGCCCACCUGCCCCCAGCCCACAGGUGCCGUAAACAGAGGACCCAGUCCUUGCCCUCUACGCAGCUGUUCUAUGUGUGAGGUGGGAGGACUCCCAGUAACCUGGAAGCUCAGGCCUCCUCUUCUCGGGAGUUCCCUGGCUGCUGGUACCAGGGUCCCGGGAAUGUGUCUGGGCUGGAGGGGGAAGCUGAGUGUCCCCAGGCCUCGGAACCUUCGCAGUGGCCUAGCCCAGUCCCUUCAAGGGCCGUCUGAGCACUGGAACAGGAGCUGAGGGGCACAAAGCAUCAGCUGUCACUCGGCCUUGGGAUACUCCUGCCCUGCCCUGUUCAUCAGUUUGUCUGUCCGUCCUUCCCUGCAAAGACAUAUUUAUGGAGAAAACAGUCCCAGGCCUGCUAUGCCAGAGCUCUGUGAAAGGCUGGGAGAAUGAGGUUGUUUGGUUUUUUGUUUAAAGAAAAAUGAGCAAGGGGACCGUGGAGACAGGUUGGGGGUUGGAGUAGGGGGCGGGAUAUGUUGGCUCUCGUCCCUCCAGGUGCCAGAGAGCUUCUCCGCUCAGUGCACAUUUGCCCUUCCAAUGAUUUCUCAGAUGUGAUUCUUUCUAGAGUUGGUCCUGGAUGCCCACGUGUAGUUCACAGAAGAGGCUGCGCCUGGGGGCACCUGAUGGAUGCAGCCCAUCCACCUGGAAACUUCAGAACUUACCAUGGGGCUGAGACCAUAGAAGGGGCAGAGGUGGGCAGGUCAUCCUGGGGCUGGCUGGGGCAGCGUGUGGAGCGGGUGUUCAGAGCCACAGAUCUUUGUCAGCUUAUGUACCUAGGCUGCCAGUUCAUCCCCAGGGCCCACAGUUUGCCUCAUCUGGGGAAAAAUCCACCUGCCAAUGAAGUCCAAGAUCGUUUCCCAGAAGGGGUAUUUUCACAGGAACAAGCGUUUAUCUCCAAGACCUCGGCUGGUCAGCCGUGCACGCUCCAGCAGAGCACCGAAGAUCCAUCGGGGCUCAGCGCCAGGGCGCCUCCUGGAGACUGAAAAAUGCCUCCAGAACCGCAUGUCUUCCUGGAGCUUGAACCCACCCAUUUGCUUUCUGAUGUGUGGUCACUGGUGCUCAGUUUGUCCCCAAAGGGGAUGUCACCCUAGCUCCAUGAAAAACCGCCAAGACCCUGUUCGGCCUGGCUUCAUGGGCACGUAGCCUGUGCAGUCAUCCCAUGCUCUAUGCUCUGCUGUCUCUGUCUUAAAGUUCUUUUUUUUUAAAUCAAUAUUUUUAUUUAUCAAUAUAUUUUUUUAUUU
Molecule: long non-coding RNA, 3399 nt
Organism: Orcinus orca (killer whale)
Lineage: Eukaryota; Metazoa; Chordata; Mammalia; Artiodactyla; Delphinidae
Exons: 2
Source: RefSeq, a predicted model, not a curated record